GAAGAAGAAGAAGAAGAAAGAAGAGCGUAAUUAAUUUCUUGUGCAGACUAUUAAGGGCUGUUUGGACGAGACUUGCUUUAAAGAAUUCUGGAAACUAACCGCUGAACAAUAAGAGACUGAACCAAACCUGCAGCCAAAAGAAAGAACAGAAGACUGUGUGCAUAUGAGGCCUUUUCGGAGCAUUGCUGACUCCAUUCAUCUGUGACGGUAUGCUUUCAGAAAGAUGAAUACCACUAUGGUACGCAGCUCAUUUUAUUUCUGAUUUCUUAAACUGUGAAACUGAAAGUUCAGGACCGGUGUUGAAGAUUAACUGGUGAUCCGAUCAACUGGUGAUAUUCAGUGAGCAAGACAGCUGUUACAACGGCAAUGCAUAGCAUAGGUGACUGUGUUGAUGCCUGUUCAAAACACACAAAUGUCAAUAAACUGUUCCAAAAUGU
Long non-coding RNA from Acanthochromis polyacanthus (spiny chromis), 437 nucleotides. RefSeq lists it as uncharacterized. The record is from RefSeq and is a predicted model, not a curated record. The transcript is spliced from 2 exons. Lineage: Eukaryota; Metazoa; Chordata; Actinopteri; Pomacentridae.